This 223-nucleotide ribosomal RNA is filed under the name uncultured bacterium. RNAcentral describes it as "partial 16S ribosomal RNA". It matches the Rfam family "Bacterial small subunit ribosomal RNA", at positions 109 to 334 of the family's 1533-position model. The record is from RNAcentral.
AGUAAUGUAUGGGGAUCUGCCUGAUGGCGGGGGAUAACUACUGGAGACGGUAGCUAAUACCGCAUAAUGUACUGCGGACCAAAGCGGGGGACCUCCGGGCCUCGCGCCAUCAGAUGAACCCAUAUGGGAUUAGCUAGUAGGUGGGGUAACGGCUCACCUAGGCGACGAUCCCUAGCUGGUCUGAGAGGAUGACCAGCCACACUGGAACUGAGACACGGUCCAG